UCUCCGUAGGUGAACCUGCGGAGGGAUCAUUACUGAGUUAGGGCUCACGCCCGACCUCCAACCCUUUGUGAACACAAUCUUGUUGCUUCGGGGGCGACCCUGCCGGCACUACGUCGCCGGGCGCCCCCGAAGGUCUCCAAACACUGCAUCUUUGCGUCGGAGUUUAAACAAAUUAAACAAAACUUUCAACAACGGAUCUCUUGGUUCUGGCAUCGAUGAAGAACGCCAGC
Molecule: unclassified non-coding RNA, 230 nt
Filed under: uncultured fungus
Lineage: Eukaryota; Fungi
Description: sequence contains ITS1, 5.8S rRNA gene
Rfam family: 5.8S ribosomal RNA (bases 181-230)
Source: RNAcentral